UACAGAGGUGGCAAGCGUUGUUCGGAAUUACUGGGCGUAAAGGGCGCGUAGGCGGCCAUCUAAGUCAGACGUGAAAUCCCCCGGCUUAACCUGGGAACUGCGUCUGAUACUGGACGGCUUGAGUAUGGGAGAGGGAUGUAGAAUUCCAGGUGUAGCGGUGAAAUGCGUAGAUAUCAGGAGGAACACCGGUGGCGAAGGCGCACAUCUGGCCCAAUACUGACGCUAAAGCGCGAAAGCUAGGGGAGCAAACGGG
This 253-nucleotide ribosomal RNA is filed under the name uncultured bacterium. RNAcentral's name for it is "partial 16S ribosomal RNA". It matches the Rfam family "Bacterial small subunit ribosomal RNA", at positions 524 to 776 of the family's 1533-position model. The record is from RNAcentral.